Small nucleolar RNA from Malania oleifera, 108 nucleotides. Lineage: Eukaryota; Viridiplantae; Streptophyta; Magnoliopsida; Santalales; Ximeniaceae. The record is from RefSeq and is a predicted model, not a curated record.
AACUCGUGAUGUGGACAAGUGCUUAACAGAUCCUUGAACCUCUCCUAACAAACUUGAAAAGUCUCAUCACCCUUCUGCAUAAACUAAAUGAUCUAUUCCUGCAAAAAU